This 216-nucleotide ribosomal RNA is filed under the name Glomeromycotina sp. Its description in RNAcentral is "partial small subunit ribosomal RNA". The stretch from base 40 to 216 matches the Rfam family "Eukaryotic small subunit ribosomal RNA", at positions 686 to 864 of the family's 1831-position model. The record is from RNAcentral. Lineage: Eukaryota; Fungi; Glomeromycota.
GGGUCAUUAGGUUGGUCGUGCCACCGGUACGUACUGGUCUCAAUGAUUCCUCCUUCCUGAAGAACCGUAAUGCCGUUAAUUUGGUGUUGCGGGGAAACAGGACUGUUACUUUGAAAAAAUUAGAGUGUUUAAAGCAAGCUAACGCUUGAAUACAUUAGCAUGGAAUAAUGAAAUAGGACGAUCGAUCCUAUUUUGUUGGUUUCUAGGAUUGACGUA